RNAcentral lists this ribosomal RNA (253 nucleotides) under uncultured bacterium. RNAcentral's name for it is "partial 16S ribosomal RNA". It matches the Rfam family "Bacterial small subunit ribosomal RNA", at positions 524 to 776 of the family's 1533-position model. The record is from RNAcentral.
UACGGGGGGGGCAAGCGUUGUUCGGAAUUACUGGGCGUAAAGGGCUCGUAGGUGGCCAACUAAGUCAGACGUGAAAUCCCUCGGCUUAACCGGGGAACUGCGUCUGAUACUGGAUGGCUCGAGUUUGGGAGAGGGAUGCGGAAUUCCUGGUGUAGCGGUGAAAUGCGCAGAUAUCAGGAGGAACACCGAUGGCGAAGGCAGGUCUCUGGGCCGAUACUGACGCUGAGGAGCGAAAGCGUGGGGAGCGAACAGG